AUAGUGUUCUCAAUUCAUACAUACAGUGAAUCUUAUAUUGUGAAUCUUAUAUUGCAAAAGUUGCUAUUGGUGAUGAAUUUAAGUGGAAUUUUUAGCAUUUGAACAAUUAUUGCAACUAUUUAAUUAUUGUACAGUUAUCAAGGCGGUCAAUUUGACUUUUGGGUAAUAGCAGAGGAUAGCUUGAAUUUAGUUACAGACAUCUAUAGCGUUGAAAGAAUGAAAAGCUUUUACCUUCUGAUGACAAUAGCAUUUCAGGCACAGAAGCAGCCUUGGUGACUGUUGACCGUGUUAAUCUUCAAGUACUCGAAGAAACAUAUUCAACUCAUGCAAGCUCAAAGGCAUGAUAAGUUUUUGAAACUCACCUUCUGAAUAAGGGUUCCAAACGAAAUGAUGGAACUCCACUCUUCCACAUUUUAGCUUUGUACAUCUCCUUCCAUGCCUCUACUAUUUCAUCAAUUUUGAAGGCAAGACCUGCCAGUGAAAAAGUUAACAUCUAUAUCUGUUGGAGAAGCUCCUGCAAGUUCAAAUUUCUCAACUGAAGCCGCAAGAGUUUCAUGCCACAUAGGUAGCCCUGAUUUAAACUCCACAAUUGAGUGUUCGUACAGAAUGGUACCCCAUAGGAGAUUUAUUUGAGACCUCAUAUGUGCCUCCUGUGCUGCAAGCUCUUCUGAGGACAUACUUUUAAAAACCCCAUCCAACCCCAUGUUCUGCAAAUCCAAUAUAGAAUAAUUUGAAUAGGACAUUUUACUCAAGUUCUGCUUUUCAGAUUCUUCCCAUAUCUGCACUUCUUUCUCCAUAUUUUCUUCAGCAUUGUUGUAAAGAUGGAGAACCUCAGCGGAAGGCUAUGUUAAUGACUCUACAUUACUGUUGAGUGCAUAAUUCCACACAAGUUUUGCUCGCUCAAA
Molecule: long non-coding RNA, 905 nt
Organism: Vigna angularis (adzuki bean)
Lineage: Eukaryota; Viridiplantae; Streptophyta; Magnoliopsida; Fabales; Fabaceae
Exons: 2
Source: RefSeq, a predicted model, not a curated record